Molecule: ribosomal RNA, 253 nt
Filed under: Anaerobutyricum hallii
Lineage: Bacteria; Bacillati; Bacillota; Clostridia; Lachnospirales; Lachnospiraceae
Description: partial 16S ribosomal RNA
Rfam family: Bacterial small subunit ribosomal RNA
Source: RNAcentral
UACGUAUGGAGCAAGCGUUAUCCGGAUUUACUGGGUGUAAAGGGUGCGUAGGUGGCAGUGCAAGUCAGAUGUGAAAGGCCGGGGCUCAACCCCGGAGCUGCAUUUGAAACUGCUCGGCUAGAGUACAGGAGAGGUAGGCGGAAUUCCUAGUGUAGCGGUGAAAUGCGUAGAUAUUAGGAGGAACACCAGUGGCGAAGGCGGCCUGCUGGACUGUUACUGACACUGAGGCACGAAAGCGUGGGGAGCAAACAGG